AAUGCUUCGGAACGACGAUAGUGUGAAAUGAAUGUCCAGACUGUGAUCGUGACACUCUCCCUCUUCAAGCUGCAAGAUACUAUUGACAAAAUAGAAAACCCCUUGUUGUUCUUUCUGUUUGUCUCUGCUUGAAUAAUUUUAUGUGAUGCAAGGAGCUUAUGAAAGGUAAUCAGCAGGGAAAGAAGACCCUGUUAGGCUUGACACUAGUUUAACAUUGUGAAGAAACAUAGAAAGUGUAGAAUAAGUGGGAGCUUCAGUGCCAGUGAAAUACCACUACCUUUAUUGUCUUUUUACUCAUUCAGUGAGGUAAAGCUGGGACACAAAUGAACUUGGAGAUGCUGGCAGGGGCCCCAGGAAGAGUUUUCCUUCCUCCUUAACAGCCUACCACCCUGAAAUCAGUUUGUCCAGAGCUAGGAUUCAAUGGCUGGUAGAGCUUAGCACUUCUGCUAGGUCUAAUGUGUUCUCAACAGUCCUUGAAAAUCCAAGGGAAUGAAUAAUCUUUGCACCUAGUCACACUCAUAACAGCAGCAGGUCUCCAGGGUGAACAGCCUCUAGUUGAUAGAACAAUGAAGAUAAGGGAAAUUAGUGACAUGCAUGAAUGGAUUAAUGAGAUUCCCACUGUCCCUAUCUACUAUCUAGUGAAACCACAGCCAAGGGAAUGGGCUUGGCAGAAUCAGCAGGGAAAGAAGACCCUGUUGAGCUUGACUCUAGGUUGACAUUAUGAAAAGACAUGAAGGGUGUAGAAUAAGUGGGAGCUUGGGUGCUGGUGAAAUACCACUACCUUUAUCAUCUUUUUACUUAUUCAGUGAGGCAGAGCUAGGAUUCUGUCCUAGCUUUUGGCUUUCAAGGUCCUUCAUAGGCCAAUCCAGGCUGAAGACAUUGUCAGGUGGGGAGUUUGGCUAGGGCAGCACAUCUGUUAAAAGAUAAUGCAGGUGUCCUAAGGGGGACUCAUUGAGAACAUAAAUCUCAAGUAGAACAAAAGGGUAAAAGUCCCUUGAUUUUGAUUUUCAGUGUGAAUACAAACCAUGAAAGUGUGGCCUAUUGAUCCUUUAGUCCCUUGGAAUUUGAGGCUAGAGGUGUCAAAAAAGCUAUCAUAGGGAUAACUGGCUUGUGGCAGCCAAGCAUUCAUAGCAAUGUUGCUUUUGAUCCUUUGAUGUUGGCUCUUCCUAUUAUACUAAAGCAGAAUUCAGUGAGUAUUGGAUUGUUCAACCAGUAAUAGGGAAUGUGAGCUGGGUUUAGACUGUCAUGAGAUAGGUUAGUUUUACCCUGCUGAUGGAGCAGUUGUCACAACAGUAAUUGAACUUAGUAUGAGAGGAACUGUUCAUUCAGACAUUUGGUAUUUGCACCUGUCUUGGGUAAUGGCACAAAGCUAUUCUCUGCCAGAUUAUGGCUAAAUGCCUCUAAGCCAGAAUUUGUACCUGAAACUAUGAUGUUGGUCCCACACAUGUUAGUCAUGUUGAAAUAGAGUGUUUUGCUCAUGAAGUGAGUUGGGUGGACUCAGCUGUCGUUGCAGAAAUGCUUUGGCAGCUUGUCCAUGAAUGGCAAUCAUCAUAUGUGUGGGGGUGAAUCUGUCACGAUCAUGAUUUAUGAUC
This 1592-nucleotide ribosomal RNA is filed under the name Ramaria sp. MG151. RNAcentral's name for it is "eukaryotic LSU rRNA". It matches the Rfam family "Eukaryotic large subunit ribosomal RNA", at positions 1559 to 3401 of the family's 3401-position model. Lineage: Eukaryota; Fungi; Basidiomycota; Agaricomycetes; Gomphales; Gomphaceae. The record is from RNAcentral.